UACGUAGGCAGCAAGCGUUGUUCGGAGUUACUGGGCGUAAAGGGUGUGUAGGCGGCUUCGUAAGUUCGGUGUGAAAUCUCCCGGCUUAACUGGGAGGGUGCGCCGAAAACUGCGAAGCUGGAGCGCAGGAGAGGAAAGCAGAAUUCCUGGUGUAGCGGUGAAAUGCGUAGAUAUCAGGAGGAAUACCGGUGGUGAAGGCGGCUUUCUGGACUGCUGCUGACGCUGAUACACGAAAGCGUGGGGAGCAAACAGG
Molecule: ribosomal RNA, 253 nt
Filed under: uncultured bacterium
Lineage: Bacteria
Description: partial 16S ribosomal RNA
Rfam family: Bacterial small subunit ribosomal RNA
Source: RNAcentral